Molecule: long non-coding RNA, 688 nt
Organism: Tigriopus californicus
Lineage: Eukaryota; Metazoa; Arthropoda; Copepoda; Harpacticoida; Harpacticidae
Exons: 2
Source: RefSeq, a predicted model, not a curated record
AAUUUCAAAUUGAGUGUUAAUUUUGUGUGUUAUACUCAUUUUACGUUCAAUUGUGAGGCCUGAGCUUUAUUUUUCCGUUUAUUGAACUGCAGAUGCUAGUCACCUUCAAAUCGGCAUCAUGGCCGUCUAUCCGGUCGAUGGGUUAUGUAAUGGAGCUCGGCCCAAGUGAGCGCGUGAUCAGAAGUAUCAGUUCCGAAUCGAGUAUACUACGCGCCGACCGGGCCGCUAAACGGAGACAUUAUUUCUAGAAAGAUCCGCGCCUUGCCGGCCUAUGUCCCCUUGAGUGGGUCAUUAGCCGCUGCGGCAUGGGUCGGUCAGCUGGACUAGCCUGGCAUCGACUCCUGUUGAUAACCCUGGGCCGCCAAAUGCCCAUGGGAUGUUCCUUGGGCGAGGAUUCCCAAGUGGGGCCAGACCGGGAAACCAUAACAGGAGCCUAGCCAAUGCUUCGCACCUUGUAUCUGCAGCAUAAAUCAACCAUCCCAGUGAGUGUACCUACAUUUGACUCCAUAAAGAGUCCGUCCGCCACUCUCAUUAUUAUUUGCAUCCGAGCAGUCACCCUUGGGACCCAACUUUAACUUAAGGCUUGCCGUUUCGAACUCCACCCAUAGGUUCAAUAAAAAAUGCAUUGACCUAUUGUGUAAAUAGUUAAAAUUUGAAAUACUUGGAAAUGUAAUUGAUUACCAAAUUG